GUGCUUGCUUUGGCAGCACAUAUAGUAAAAUGGGAACAAUACAGAGAAGAUUAGCAGGGCCCCUGUGCAAGGAUAACACGCAAAUUCUUGAAGUGUUCCAUGUUUUC
RNAcentral lists this small nuclear RNA (107 nucleotides) under Spermophilus dauricus (Daurian ground squirrel). Lineage: Eukaryota; Metazoa; Chordata; Mammalia; Rodentia; Sciuridae. The record is from RNAcentral.